GGAAUCGUCUACAAAGCUGGAGCAGUGGCGGUGAAGAAGCUAUGGAGAACAGAACCUGACAUUGAAAAUGGCGGAGAUGACCUAUUUGGAGAGGUCAGCCUUCUCGGGAGUCUCCGACAUAGGAACAUUGUGAAGGUGUUAGGGUAUCUGCACAACCAAAAAGACGUGAUGAUGAUUUAUGAGUACAUGCCAAAUGGAAACUUAGGAGAUGCCUUGCAUAGCAAGGAAGAAUCCGAGAGGUUGCUUGUGGAUUGGGUUUCGAGGUAUAACAUAGCAGUCGGAGUCGCUCAGGGACUGCAUUACCUCCACCAUGAUUGCCAUCCUCAAAUUAUCCAUCGCGACAUCAAGUCCAACAACAUCCUGCUUGAUGCUAAUCUCGAUGCAAGGAUUGCCGAUUUUGGGCUGGCGAGAACGAUGGCUCAUAAGAGCGAGACCGUCUCGAUGGUGGCUGGAUCUUACGGCUACAUUGCACCUGGUAAGCAGCAAAGCAAGAUCACUUAAAACUGUUAAUUUCAGAAAUGAAACUUAUUGAUGUUGAUUUUUUUUAAUCCAGAAUAUGGAUACACAUUGAAGGUUGAUGAGAAGAGCGACAUAUACAGCUUCGGAGUCAUGCUUUUGGAGCUCCUGACUGGGAAAAUGCCUAUUGAGCCUGCAUUUGGAGAAUCUGUUGAUAUUGUGGAAUGGAUCAGAACCAAGAUGAGAAACAAUAAACCAUUGGAAGAAG
RNAcentral lists this long non-coding RNA (724 nucleotides) under Linum usitatissimum (flax). RNAcentral describes it as "long non-coding RNA (LUSI_LNC003013)". Lineage: Eukaryota; Viridiplantae; Streptophyta; Magnoliopsida; Malpighiales; Linaceae. The record is from RNAcentral.